This 348-nucleotide unclassified non-coding RNA is filed under the name soil metagenome. RNAcentral describes it as "partial contains 5.8S ribosomal RNA, internal transcribed spacer 2, and large subunit ribosomal RNA". The stretch from base 1 to 120 matches the Rfam family "5.8S ribosomal RNA", at positions 35 to 154 of the family's 154-position model. The record is from RNAcentral.
GAUGAAGAACGUAGUGAAAUGCGAUAAGUAAUGUGAAUUGCAGAAUUCAGUGAAUCAUCGAAUCUUUGAACGCACAUUGCGCCCGCCAGUAUUCUGGCGGGCAUCCCUGUCUGAGCGUCAUUUCAACCCUCAUGCCCCUAGGGCGUGGUGUUGGGGAUCGGCCAAAGCCCGCGAGGGACGGCCGGCCCCUAAAUCUAGUGGCGGACCCGUCGUGGCCUCCUCUGCGAAGUAGUGAUAUUCCGCAUCGGAGAGCGACGAGCCCCUGCCGUUAAACCCCCAACUUUCCAAGGUUGACCUCAGAUCAGGUAGGAAUACCCGCUGAACUUAAGCAUAUCAAUAAGCGGAGGA